This 101-nucleotide non-coding RNA is filed under the name Palleronia marisminoris. RNAcentral's name for it is "TPP sequence". It matches the Rfam family "TPP riboswitch aptamer (THI element)". Rfam says of the family: Vitamin B(1) in its active form thiamin pyrophosphate (TPP) is an essential coenzyme that is synthesised by coupling of pyrimidine and thiazole moieties in bacteria. The previously detected thiamin-regulatory element, thi box was extended, resulting in a new, highly conserved RNA secondary structure, the THI element, which is widely distributed in eubacteria and also occurs in some archaea. The record is from Rfam by way of RNAcentral. Lineage: Bacteria; Pseudomonadati; Pseudomonadota; Alphaproteobacteria; Rhodobacterales; Roseobacteraceae.
AAGAAUCCGUUGGGGUGCCCCGUCUGGGGCUGAGAGGCGCGAGCUAACCCAUCGAACCUGAUCCGGGCAAUACCGGCGUAGGGAACGGAGCACGAUCUGGC